RNAcentral lists this ribosomal RNA (253 nucleotides) under uncultured bacterium. Its description in RNAcentral is "partial 16S ribosomal RNA". It matches the Rfam family "Bacterial small subunit ribosomal RNA", at positions 524 to 776 of the family's 1533-position model. The record is from RNAcentral.
UACGGAGGGUGCAAGCGUUAUCCGGAUUUACUGGGUUUAAAGGGUGCGUAGGCGGGCUUUUAAGUCAGUGGUGAAAGCUUCGAGCUUAACUCGAAAAUUGCCAUUGAUACUAUUAGUCUUGAAUUCAGUUGAGGUCGGCGGAAUGUGUCGUGUAGAGGUGAAAUUCUUAGAUAUGACACAGAACACCAAUUGCGAAGGCAGCUGGCUAAUCUGACAUUGACGCUGAGGCACGAAAGCGUGGGGAUCAAACAGG